AUUACCGCGGCUGCUGGCACGGAGUUAGCCGGUGCUUCUUCUGUGGGUAACAUCAAUUCACUCACGUAUUAGGUGAAUGACCUUUCUCCCCACUGAAAGUGCUUUACAACCCUAAGGCCUUCUUCACACACGCGGCAUGGCUGGAUCAGGCUUGCGCCCAUUGUCCAAUAUUCCCCACUGCUGCCUCCCGUAGGAGU
This 197-nucleotide ribosomal RNA is filed under the name uncultured bacterium. RNAcentral describes it as "partial 16S ribosomal RNA". The record is from RNAcentral.